This 544-nucleotide ribosomal RNA is filed under the name uncultured bacterium. RNAcentral describes it as "bacterial SSU rRNA". It matches the Rfam family "Bacterial small subunit ribosomal RNA", at positions 351 to 886 of the family's 1533-position model. The record is from RNAcentral.
GCAGUGGGGAAUAUUGGACAAUGGGCGCAAGCCUGAUCCAGCCAUACCGCGUGGGUGAAGAAGGCCUUCGGGUUGUAAAGCCCUUUUGUUGGGAAAGAAAAGCAGCCGGUUAAUACCUGGUUGUUCUGACGGUACCCAAAGAAUAAGCACCGGCUAACUUCGUGCCAGCAGCCGCGGUAAUACGAAGGGUGCAAGCGUUACUCGGAAUUACUGGGCGUAAAGCGUGCGUAGGUGGUUGUUUAAGUCUGUUGUGAAAGCCCUGGGCUCAACCUGGGAAUUGCGAUGGAAGCUGGGCGACUAGAGUGUGGCAGAGGAUAGUGGAAUUCCUGGUGUAGCAGUGAAAUGCGUAGAGAUCAGGAGGAACAUCCGUGGCGAAGGCGACUGUCUGGGCCAACACUGACACUGAGGCACGAAAGCGUGGGGAGCAAACAGGAUUAGAUACCCUGGUAGUCCACGCCCUAAACGAUGCGAACUGGAUGUUGGGUGCAAUUUGGCACGCAGUAUCGAAGCUAACGCGUUAAGUUCGCCGCCUGGGGAGUACGGU